RNAcentral lists this ribosomal RNA (574 nucleotides) under uncultured bacterium. RNAcentral's name for it is "partial 16S ribosomal RNA". It matches the Rfam family "Bacterial small subunit ribosomal RNA", at positions 355 to 919 of the family's 1533-position model. The record is from RNAcentral.
UGGGGAAUUUUGGACAAUGGGCGAAAGCCUGAUCCAGCAAUGCCGCGUGUGUGAAGAAGGCCUUCGGGUUGUAAAGCACUUUUGUCCGGAAAGAAAUCCUUGGCUCUAAUACAGUCGGGGGAUGACGGUACCGGAAGAAUAAGCACCGGCUAACUACGUGCCAGCAGCCGCGGUAAUACGUAGGGUGCAAGCGUUAAUCGGAAUUACUGGGCGUAAAGCGUGCGCAGGCGGUUUGCUAAGACCGAUGUGAAAUCCCCGGGCUCAACCUGGGAACUGCAUUGGUGACUGGCAGGCUAGAGUAUGGCAGAGGGGGGUAGAAUUCCACGUGUAGCAGUGAAAUGCGUAGAGAUGUGGAGGAAUACCGAUGGCGAAGGCAGCCCCCUGGGCCAAUACUGACGCUCAUGCACGAAAGCGUGGGGGAGCAAACAGGAUUAGAUACCCUGGGUAGUCCACGCCCUAAACGAUGUCAACUAGUUGUUGGGGAUUCAUUUCCUUAGUAACGUAGCUAACGCGUGAAGUUGACCGCCUGGGGGAGUACGGUCGCAAGAUUAAAACUCAAAUGAAUUGACGGGGU